GAUGAACGCUGGCGACGUGCCUAAUACAUGCAAGUCGAGCGAACAGACGAGGAGCUUGCUCCUCUGACGUUAGCGGCGGACGGGUGAGUAACACGUGGAUAACCUACCUAUAAGACUGGGAUAACUUCGGGAAACCGGAGCUAAUACCGGAUAAUAUUUUGAACCGCAUGGUUCAAUAGUGAAAGACGGUUUUGCUGUCACUUAUAGAUGGAUCCGCGCCGCAUUAGCUAGUUGGUAAGGUAACGGCUUACCAAGGCAACGAUGCGUAGCCGACCUGAGAGGGUGAUCGGCCACACUGGAACUGAGACACGGUCCAGACUCCUACGGGAGGCAGCAGUAGGGAAUCUUCCGCAAUGGGCGAAAGCCUGACGGAGCAACGCCGUGUGAGUGAUGAAGGUCUUCGGAUCGUAAAACUCUGUUAUUAGGGAAGAACAAAUGUGUAAGUAACUAUGCACGUCUUGACGGUACCUAAUCAGAAAGCCACGGCUAACUACGUG
This 497-nucleotide ribosomal RNA is filed under the name uncultured bacterium. RNAcentral describes it as "partial 16S ribosomal RNA". It matches the Rfam family "Bacterial small subunit ribosomal RNA", at positions 28 to 507 of the family's 1533-position model. The record is from RNAcentral.